Molecule: long non-coding RNA, 1514 nt
Organism: Panicum hallii
Lineage: Eukaryota; Viridiplantae; Streptophyta; Magnoliopsida; Poales; Poaceae
Exons: 4
Source: RefSeq, a predicted model, not a curated record
CCACCACUCCGCCAGCAGCCAUCCAGUGUGCUCCCCUGAGACCCGAUUACCCAACCGCCAGCCGCCGCCCAAACCCGCCAUCAGCCGCCGCUCGCUGGCCGCCCGCUACCCGCGCCGGUCACCGACCGCGCUCCUCAUCCAGAGCCCCCGUCGGCCGCCGCCCGACUGCCCGGAGCCCCCGAGGCCCCGACGCCCGCCUGUCGUCGCUCCCCAUGUCGCGCAGGAGCAGGACACCGUGCUGACUCUGUACCCCCGGAGAAGCACCUAGGCUUGGGGUUGUCAUUCGGGAGAUUGCUCCCAUCACUGCCGCCACCACUAUCUUCUAUCAAAGGCAGCAGCAGCGGCUGCGCAUCUGCUUGAGUACUCUCAUGUUUCAAGAGGAAAGCAAGUGACAGUGAAGGAGCUUCAUCUUCAGCAGCUAAGAAUAACAAUGCAAAUCAAGUAGUUGGUCUUGAUAGUGGCAGUGGGAUAUCAACACAAGGAUCUGUUCCUGGGGUUGAUGGUAGUGAUACAAACACACAGCAAACAUAAGAUCAAGAUACGUGCCUACUGUAGAUAUUAUUGCUCUUGAAGAUGAUGAUGAGGGAGAGCGAGAGGGAGAGUAAGUUUAGGGGACAACAAAGAGACCGAAAAGGUACACAUCUAUUUUGUGGAAACACUUUACAAAGAAAACAGAGAUAGUUGAGGUGGAUGGAAAGAAGUAUGAGGAGUUGUGGGGCUACUGUAAAUUCCCAAGAUGCAAGCAGAGGUAUAAAGCUGAGUGCAACUAUGGCACUACCGGAUUUAGGAGCCAUCUAAGACCAGCACAUAGUAUUGUGAAAGGGCAGCUGCAACUCAAGGCAGAAAAGAAUCAUGGGAAAGAUGUAAAUACUAUUCAGCCAUACAGGAGAUGGGCUAGCUAUUAUUUCAAAAGCACUUGACAAAAUUAAAGCAUUGGCACUAACUGUGAAGAGCUCUCCUUUGCAAUGGGAGGAGCUCAUGAAACGUGCUGCUGAGUAUGAGAUGGAUACAUCAAAAGGCAUUCAACUUGAUGUUUGAACAAGGUGAAACUCCACCUAUUUGAUGCUAAGGGAUGUGUUGCACUACAAGCCUGCUUUCAUUAGGCUCAAGACAUCGAACAGCCGUAAGUACGAUUCUAAAUAUAUUUCUUCAAUUGUGGCUGAUAUAAAACCUCCAGAGACCAUUCCUGUCAGUCCUAGUCACCCUAUGGAUAAUGAGGUAUUUGACUACUCUACAUAACCAUUUUGCCAAUAACUUAAGAACAGUAACAUAGUCUUAUAUGUGCAACUAAUCAUGAACAUAUAAAGUGAUCCAGAUGUAAUGAAUGAAGAUGGUGAGCUGUGAAAAAAAUUUGAUGCUAUUUUAAUGCCAUGUUGAUUGGUGAACUACUUCAGAACUUGUGCUUUGUGGACUACUCUUGUACUGUAAUGGUUGUGGAUCUAUAGUUUGUUGUUUGGUCAUGUGGAAUUGUGGACGGUAAACUUGUUUGUCUAAUUCUCUUGUCGAGUGUGUGA